Long non-coding RNA from Onychomys torridus (southern grasshopper mouse), 825 nucleotides. RefSeq lists it as uncharacterized. Lineage: Eukaryota; Metazoa; Chordata; Mammalia; Rodentia; Cricetidae. The transcript is spliced from 5 exons. The record is from RefSeq and is a predicted model, not a curated record.
GAAAAUCUGUGGCGGAUGCACCCAGCAGUAUGCUCAUUAAUCGAGAAAGAGCAUGCCUCCCAUUUUCUUCACCGGUAAAAUUCUGAGGUGCUGUACAAAGACUUUCAAAAUACCAGCCUGGAUGGAAUGAAGAAACAGAAUCAAUGCACAGUGGGCGUUUGAGGGGUUUGCAGGAUUUGGGGGCCUCUUCUCUCUCUGAGGGGAGGAUGCGAUGAGGUAGGGCAGCUAGCUGCAAGCUCCUGGCAGGAAUUCAAGGGCGAUGAACGCAGACAAGGAAACAUAGAUUCAUCGAGGAGGCAGCCAAACAUCUCCAUAUGUCACUUUUCCAGUACAUUUGAGCUAAAAUGGCUGUGGAGUAUGUGGCCAAGUAGGUUAUGCUAGGGCUGCACAGGGAAGGGGAGAUUGUUUUCUUGCACGUGACCAAAGCCAGACGUGGACCAAUGCACGUGGGCAGGCUUGUGGCCACAGUAUGGAGCAUGGGCACCCCCAAGUGGCUAAUAGGGGAAAUGAUCGGGGUGUUGGCAUCCUGAAUCCAGCAGCAGUCCAGAAGCAUCAAAGACACUAGGGACUUCCAGAUGAUGCCUGAAUAAGGAAUGGUGAACAAAGAUGGAGGUGGGGGCUCUCACCAGACAGAGGUGCUCCAUCAUCAGCACCGGCCACACAAAGCAAGUCUGUGGAAUGCCAGGCCACGACAGUUGAGAAACAGUCCAUUGAAAAAAGACAAGAAGAAUUCUCCUAGAAGCCGCUGGAGGGCAGCCCUGGAAGCACCCUGACUUUUCCAUUAUGGCUUCUAGAACCGGUUUCUCCGUGUAGCUUUGGAGCCUG